UGGGGAAUAUUGCACAAUGGGCGCAAGCCUGAUGCAGCCAUGCCGCGUGUAUUAAGAAGGCCUUCGGGUUGUAAAGUACUUUCAGCGGGGAGGAAGGGAGUAAAGUUAAUACCUUUGCUCAUUGACGUUACUCGCAGAAGAAGCACCGUCUAACUCCGUUCCAGCAUCCGCGGUAAUACGGUGGGUUCAAGCGUUAAUCGGAAUUACUUGGCGUAAAGCGCACGCAGGCGGUUUGUUAAGUCAGAUGUGAAAUCCCCGGGCUCAACCUGGGAACUGAAACUGGUACUGGCAAGCUUGAGUCUCGUAGAGGGGGGUAGAAUUCCAGGUAUAGCGGUGAAAUGCGUAGAGAUCUGGAGGAAUACCGGUGGCGAAGGCAGCCCCCUGGACGAAGACUGACGCUAAGGUGCGAAAGCGUGGGGAGCAAACAGG
RNAcentral lists this ribosomal RNA (429 nucleotides) under Fusobacteriota bacterium. Its description in RNAcentral is "Fusobacteria bacterium partial 16S ribosomal RNA". It matches the Rfam family "Bacterial small subunit ribosomal RNA", at positions 355 to 776 of the family's 1533-position model. Lineage: Bacteria; Fusobacteriati; Fusobacteriota. The record is from RNAcentral.